This is a long non-coding RNA of Mytilus californianus (California mussel), 297 nucleotides long. RefSeq lists it as uncharacterized. The record is from RefSeq and is a predicted model, not a curated record. The transcript is spliced from 2 exons. Lineage: Eukaryota; Metazoa; Mollusca; Bivalvia; Mytilida; Mytilidae.
UCGACACUGUUAAAAGACACACGUCACAGAGAAGUAUUGGAACACAAACUCAAACACAGACCAGAAGUACUCAAACUUGUAAUAAUCAUGUUGAGGAGAUACCUGAGAUUAUUUUAAACGAAGCGGAUAUCACACAGAAUUGAGGAAUAUUGCCAGAAGUAGUUCAUAUUCAGACUAAGACAUGUACAUAGGAAUAAAUCUAACAUUCAAUUGUGAAUUUUGUUGCAGUUCAAAAAUUUCUGGACAUUUUAGUGACAUAUAAGUGUGAAAUUUUGACAAAUUAAAAAACGAGAGUUA